GUAGGUGAACCUGCGGAAGGAUCAUUAUAGAAUAAACCCAAAGCUCAGACUGUUGCUGGCUCUUAGGAGUAUUUGUGCACGUCUAGCGUGUUUUUCUUUAACCCACCUGUGAACCUUUUGUAGAUUUGAGAAACAUCACCUUGUCGAUAACAUUCGGUUAGAAGAUUGCAAUGCGCAAGUUUGCUCUCUUUGAAUGUUUUUCAAUCUAUGUAUUUAUUAUCAACUCUAAAAACAAACAUAGAAUGUAUAA
This 250-nucleotide unclassified non-coding RNA is filed under the name plant metagenome. RNAcentral describes it as "partial contains small subunit ribosomal RNA, internal transcribed spacer 1, and 5.8S ribosomal RNA". The record is from RNAcentral.